Pelobates cultripes (western spadefoot toad) is the source of this 564-nucleotide non-coding RNA. The record is from the annotation of a GenBank genome assembly. Lineage: Eukaryota; Metazoa; Chordata; Amphibia; Anura; Pelobatidae.
UGAAAUGUUGCCAUGUUUUUAUUGAACACACCAUGUAAACAUUCACAGUGCAGGUGGAAAAAGUAUGAACCCUUAGAUUUAAUAACUGGUUGAACCGCUUUUGGCAGCAAUAACUUCAACCAAACGUUUCCUGUAGUUGCAGAUCAGACGUGCACAACGGUCAGGAGUAAUUCUUGACCAUUCCUCUUUACAGAACUGUUUCAGUUCAGCAAUAUUCUUGGGAUGUCUGGUGUGAAUCGCUUUCUUAAGGUCAUGCCACAGCAUCUCAAUCGGGUCAGCACUCUGACUAGGCCACUUCAGAAGGUGUAUUUUCUUCUGUUUAAGACAUUCUGUUGUUGAUUUACUUCUAUGCUUUAGGUCCUGUUGAGCUUCAGCUGGUAGAUAGAUGGCCUUAAGUUCUCCUGCAAAAUGUCUUGAUAAACUUGGGAAUUCAUUUUUCCUUCGAUGAUAGCAAUCCGUCCAGGCCCUGACGCAGCAAAGCAACCCCAAACCAUGAUCCCCCCACCACCAUACUUCACAGUUGGGAUGAGGUUUUGAUGUUGGUGUGCUGUGCCUUUUUUUCGC